CCUACGGGUGGCAGCAGUGAGGAAUAUUGGUCAAUGGACGAGAGUCUGAACCAGCCAAGUAGCGUGAAGGAUGACUGCCCUAUGGGUUGUAAACUUCUUUUAUAAAGGAAUAAAACGAGGCACGUGUGCCUUUUUGCAUGUACUUUAUGAAUAAGGAUCGGCUAACUCCGUGCCAGCAGCCGCGGUAAUACGGAGGAUCCGAGCGUUAUCCGGAUUUAUUGGGUUUAAAGGGAGCGUAGAUGGGUUGUUAAGUCAGUUGUGAAAGUUUGCGGCUCAACCGUAAAAUUGCAAUUGAUACUGGCAGUCGUGAGUACAGUUGAGGUAGGCGGAAUUCGUGGUGUAGCGGUGAAAUGCUUAGAUAUCACGAAGAACCCCGAUUGCGAAGGCAGCUUACUAAACUGUGACUGAUAUUGAUGCUCGAAAGUGUGGGUAUCAAACAGGAUUAGAUACCCUAGUAGUC
This 460-nucleotide ribosomal RNA is filed under the name uncultured bacterium. RNAcentral describes it as "partial 16S ribosomal RNA". It matches the Rfam family "Bacterial small subunit ribosomal RNA", at positions 338 to 795 of the family's 1533-position model. The record is from RNAcentral.